Gadus morhua (Atlantic cod) is the source of this 900-nucleotide long non-coding RNA. RefSeq lists it as uncharacterized. NCBI's taxonomy places the organism in Eukaryota, Metazoa, Chordata, Actinopteri, Gadiformes, Gadidae. The record is from RefSeq and is a predicted model, not a curated record. The transcript has 3 exons.
GGGGAAUCGUGGAGUGAGUAUACUGCUCGUUCCCAGAGUGAGCGAGAACUCUGGAUUUCCAGGUUACCUGUAUAACACAUUUAAGAAGCAGCUAUUAUUAAUGUGAUACACCGCUGAAUCCAUACUGAUUCAGUAUCACUGCCUUCUAGAUAAUCGUGGGACUGAAGGGAUGGACAUCGCUGGAACUUCAAGCGUUACGUCCAGAAGAUGCGGACGUCAUCCACCCCCCUCAUAUGAGCGGUUACCCUGAUCCCAAUUCAGGCUGCCUGCGGCGCCCCCUGGAGGAAAGUGAAGGUUCUGCCACAGUGCUUGUCCACAGGCUCUCCACAGCAGAGUUUGGUACACUGCAAACAGUUCUGCACACACCAAGGAGUGACUCAGGUCCAACCACUUCACUGAGCGGGAGCGGUGGAACGGCUCCUUCUCCUCCAGCGCUGUCGGACACACGGCUCCAGAUCUAGACACAAGAUAUUGAAAUUAAAUGUUUUUUUAUUGUUCCACUUACCUAAAUCUAACCCUCAGACAAACUGAACUGGAUUAUUUAUUCAAACGACUGGUGGAUAAUGAACACAUCAGUUAGUCUUUUAGUUAAUUUAGCUUCAAGCAUAUUUUGUUCACUUUUAAAUAAGCCUGUAAUAAAAGCUCCAAGUAUUACGCCAAAUGUUGUGGCACAUCUGUACGCUGUAUGAGCGAAGGAUGACCGUUGGCAUAGGGACAAUUUUGAAUGUACUCAAAAUCUUAUUUUGUGAGUUGGAUACCUUGCAAAUAAGUACAACAUAUAACAAAUUGACUACACAACUUGAAAUAUGGAGACAGCCCAGAAGGAUGAAGGAGGAAGCCACACCAGAUGCUGCUUAGUUUGAAAACAUUCAAUAAAUUGCGAACGAUUAGCUGAUCGAC